Molecule: small RNA, 19 nt
Filed under: Arabidopsis thaliana (thale cress)
Lineage: Eukaryota; Viridiplantae; Streptophyta; Magnoliopsida; Brassicales; Brassicaceae
Description: ATSL296050
Source: RNAcentral
CACCAAUCAGCUUCCUUGC